This 73-nucleotide transfer RNA is filed under the name Stegodyphus mimosarum. It matches the Rfam family "tRNA". From Rfam's summary of the family: Transfer RNA (tRNA) molecules are approximately 80 nucleotides in length. Their secondary structure includes four short double-helical elements and three loops (D, anti-codon, and T loops). Lineage: Eukaryota; Metazoa; Arthropoda; Arachnida; Araneae; Eresidae. The record is from Rfam by way of RNAcentral.
GCCUUCUUGGUGUAGUGGUCAGCAUGGUCGGCUCGUAUCUCAUAGGUCCGUGGUUCGAGUCCUAGUGAGGGCA